Orcinus orca (killer whale) is the source of this 6570-nucleotide long non-coding RNA. RefSeq lists it as uncharacterized. NCBI's taxonomy places the organism in Eukaryota, Metazoa, Chordata, Mammalia, Artiodactyla, Delphinidae. The record is from RefSeq and is a predicted model, not a curated record. The transcript has 3 exons.
CCGGUUCCAUGAGACUCCUGCAGCUUCCCUGGCCCCGGGGCGUCCGUUCACAGCUAGAGUCUGGGGGAAAGGGCUUCUCCCACGAUUGUGAUAAGGUUUGGACAAGUAGCAAGCAUUGUUGUCCCUGGAAUCCUGUAGUUUCUCAAGUCAGGUACUUUUUUUCCCAAAGGCAAAAGAAAAAUGGCUUCCUGCUUGUGCAUGUUUCUCUGGUGAACGUUAGGAGGAGGAAAGGUUACGCGGGUUAGGAAUCCAGCGAAGGGGCCUCUGUUAACAAGCCACGUGCUGGGCUGGAGCUCGUUUCCGGGGACCGUUGGCCAGCAUCGGCCACGGCAUGCGGACGCGGAGCUGCAGGCAGUUGCUAACGGGACAGCGCCGGCGCCUUGGCUGUAGUACUUUCCAUCCCUGAGCACUUUCACCUCUGACCUGUCGGAUCCUCCAUUCUGUUUUCCUGGCUGUAAUGUUCCACGCGGCGCAACCCAGUGGUUCCCGCGUUGAGCUGGGCCUCCUCCCCCUGAGGAAGGAGAUGGGACUCGUGGCCUCAGCAGGGCUGCCGGGUUGUUGACACAUUAUGGACCUGAGGUUUCAGAGACGGGUAACCCGGUGAGGGUGGGGAAUCCCAGCCCCGAGUGUCCCCGAGCAACGGUCAGUCUCUCCCGGUCGCUGGGGGACACUGCUGCCCCCGAGCCAGUUCUCAGGACUCUCAAAGGAGCACGAGGGGUGAGUGAGGCAGUGAGUGGGUCAGGGUCAUUCAGUGGUCCUGGUCCGAGUAGAGUAAGCAAGACCAGGAUUUCAAAAAGGGGGUCCCCACGGCGCGCCGCACGCUUUGAUUCGUGAUUCGUUCUGCCCAGUGUCGGGCACGUGCUGGGCUCACAGGUGAAUCGUCUCCCUCGGCUCCCACCCUCACCCCGGGAGAGGUCGAGGCCUGCGCUUUACGGUCGGGACGACUGAGGCUUGGAAGGGACGAGCGACUCUCCAGGUCCACCCCAGUGUGGUCGACUGGGAUCUGGGGCUGUCCUCUCCUCUCCCCAUCAGGGGUGUUUCCCCAGCGAAGAAAGUGGACGUUUUCCCUUUGGGAAGAGUCCAGGACCGUGGGGAUUUUUGGAUGAAGUGCACCAGGGGAUCAGGGCAGCUGGGCCCCAAAGUGGAGCCCACAGGCUUUCCCCCAAGUCACUGGCAAAGGGGGAACUUCUGGGCAAGGCCACCAGCGUGACCUUCCGAGCCUGCCGCUAAUAGAUCACCUUGUCAAAUCAGGAGCCGGCUGUCCCCGGGGGGAUGCAAGUCUCCUCUCAUUAACCGAGACAAAUGAGAUUGCCCGUUGCCCCCAGACCAGAGGACACAUCCUCCCCGUGAAGUCUGUCGCUGCUCCGGGCUUCGGCAGUUCUGACUGACGUUCUGUGAUUCGUCUGCCACCCCCGGACCACGGGGUUACCCUCCACGUCUCGCCUGACAGCCUUCUGAAGGAGUCUCACGGAAUCUUUGUUUAAAAUUUAAUUGACACAUGCUUAAAAUAAUGUAUCUAUACGGUUCAAAAUGUGAGAGAGGGAAAGGGCAUGAGUGGAGUCUCCUCACGGUUGCAGGCGGGCAGCCACGUAGCAGAGUUUGUGCAUCUCUGCGGGUGCGCACACCACUGUGGGUCCCUGUGUUUCACACACGUGGGAACACGCUCUCUGUGCUUCCUGUUUUGUUCUUUUGGUGGCCUGUUUGUUUUUGUGGGUGGGGUUUAGUUUGGUCAUUUUUCUUUGUGAUACCUCUUGGCGCAUAGGACUAGGAAAGGCCUCGCUGCAGGCCUCGGGUCAGGUGAGGCCCAAGGGGGAUGGCCCUGGGUCAGGUGAGUCCCCCCUGCAGGGAUGGCCCUGGGUCAGGUGAGGCCCCCCUGCAGGGAUGGCCCUGGGUCAGGUGAGGCCCCCCUGCAGGGAUGGCCCUGGGUCAGGUGAGGCACCCUGCACAGAUGGCCCUGGGUCAGGUGAGGCCCCCCUGCAGGGAUGGCCCUGGGUCAGGUGAGGCACCCUAUGGGGAUGGCCCUGGGUCAGGUGAGGCCCCACUGACUGGCCUUUGGGUCUUCCCAGUGGUUCACUCUUACGGACCCCAAAGACAGACAGCCUCCUGGAGACCACCCUGGCUGAGGGGAGGAGGGGCCCCUUCCCUGGGUAGAGUCACACUGUCAGGGCACAGAGCACAGGGCAGUGUCCUAUUCUGUGACUCUUCUCCCAGAGCGAGGCUCCUUGACAGGUCAGAGGUUUGUUUCAUGGCAGCCAGUUCCUGAUGGAGAGAUUUUGAAAAUCAUUAUAGCCAGCCAGCGUGAGAUACCCAAGGCUUGGAGCACAGACGGGCUUGUGGAAGAUGACAGCUCCCCGCUCCAAACGUGAGAAUGCCAGACCCCCCCGCCCCAGAUCCCGCACAUCUGGUUCUUACUCCAUUUUCAACAAGCUGGGGUAUAUUUAGCCUGGGGAACAGACAAGGAGGACAGAGUCUCCUGGUCCCAAAUGCUGUCUGUGUUCAGAUCGUGGUGGGAGCAGGAGAAAUUCAGAAACAGAAGUCCUGUGCAUCAGAACAAGUCUCAGUGGUUAAUGGGAGGUUUCCUGGGGAUUGUCUCAUGCCCCCAGGCAUGCUCUGGGGAAGGCAGCACUGCAGCCAGCCCUGGGCACACAGGGGAACGCUUGGGAACAGGUGUCACACCCUGAGCUUGCCAGGCCUUGUCCCGGGGCGACACGCAGGAGGGGCUGCAGGUUAACCCAGUCCUUUCUCUGGGGAAAACCCCGACAUCCCCCUGGAUUUCUGCCCGGGGUCAGGGCGGGGACUCAGGCUGCCCAGAGGGUAAUCCUCUAAAUGACCUUCUCUGCCUGUUGCCUGGAGGUUGUCCCCCGGGGUCAGGUCCGAGAUGCAGGAGCCAUCCCAGUGCUUCCGGAUGCUUCUCCACCACCACCCCCACCCCCGCCCCGCCCGCCAACCAGGGCACCUGGCCAGGUGGGGCUUGAGGGGCCGCUGUAUACCGAGCACUCAUGCCAGACACGUACCAUCUUAUUUCCCCUCCGUCAGCACCCCGUUCCCGUUUACAGACGAGGAAACGAGGCUGACUGUCUCGCUGAAGGUCAGCGUGAGCUCUGGCUCAGGCGGCAGGCGUGGCAGGAUGUUCCCUUCGCCCCGAAACUGCCCUGGAUCGACUCUAGCCCACCUCCCCUCUGAAUGUCACUCUUCUGCUUCCGGAGUCCGGAAGGCCCUGGAGCAGGGGGUGGGGAAGGGACACGGAAGGGGUCUGGGGACUGGCCGCUCAUUCAAACUUCAGGUAGAAUUAGCCUCCGGAGUCAGGGCUUAGCCGGCUCAUAAACCGGCCCCUGAACCUGGCAGCGGCGGCGCACCAGGCGUGUUGUUGCCUCUGUAAGGCGUGCGGGCUUCCUGUCGUCUGCCGGGAGGCGCGCUCUCCCCCACCCCAGAAACUCUGGGCUGUGCCCCGGCCAUGCACUCCUGCGCCCACGGAGGCCUGCACUUCUGGCCUCCUGUGCGUGGGUCAGCCUGUUGAGCUGCUGUAUAAAAGUGAGUGUAAUUACUUCCCUCGUGUCAAGUCUUUUAGUGGCAGAAGCUUAAAAAUGAUCUUCGGGAGCCAUUAAAACCUUGGAUCAAUAGAGGCAUUUGUGCAAGUCACGUGCACUUAAAGCGAUGGGGCCGCAGUUAACCCAGGGGCGCCCCAAGGGCAGGCCAAGGACACGUGGCCGUCAGCUCGCUUGCUUGUCGGGGGUGGACCUCACUUCCGGGAGAGUCAUCCUCUUUUGUCGCUGAGGUAGUUCGGGGCUCCAGCUGUCACCUGGUUCCGCAGGUCACCUCCUGCCUGGGGUCCCCGCUCUGAAUGACAUCAGCGUUUGCUCAGUCGACCGAGGAGUGUUGGUGGAGCUUCUCCUUGGGGCCAGAAACCAGAGGGCGGUUAGGGACGAGCUCUGGAGGAAUUAGGUGUCACGCAGCCUCCUAGCAGCCCUUCAAACCGUUUCAUUUUCUCCAUUUUAGAAAUGGAGACACGGAGGAUCGUAGACCUUCUCCGGGAUUCAGAACCACAGUUCGAAUCCCACUUUGCCCAGCUCUGAGUCUCCAGGACCGAUUCCCCCACUUCAUUACCUUCCCUUUCCAGGGCUGGGGUCCAGUGACUGUGUGUAAGUCGUCAUGGGUCUCGGCCCCCAAAUUGUCCUCAGGCGACAUGCCCUGGGGCCCCCGUUGAGUCGGGGUCCCUGGGACCUGUGUGGUGGCACAGACCUGACUUAGCCUGUUGGAGUCACGAUGAGGGUGGGGUCUCUCCUCCAGGGGGCCCGGCAGGGGUUGCCCCUCUCCUGAGCUGGAUCUGGGGCUCUCUCCAGCGCCCCUGCAGGGUUGUCCGAAGAGUUCGGAACGCUUGCUCAGAAUGGCAUCAAGAUGCAGUGUCUUGCAUCCCACUCCCUUUGGGUGAGGCACUGCCCCUCACCCUUCUUCCCGUGGGCACAGGUGCGGGGCUCUCGCGGUGGACGGCGCUGGGGGAGAUGAUGGCAGGAAGCAGCAGCAGCCUGGACAAAUCGCUCUUUCGGGCGUGGGGUCUGCUGGGCUCCCUCCGACCCCCCGCCUCCUCACCACGCGACCUCAGCACCCCUCCUGAACCUCGUCUUCCUUGAUCCACCACUCCCGCUGCUCCGUUUCCUAACGGAAAAGCUAAUGAAAUAGACCAACCCUAAGAGAGCAGCAGGGAAAGUGAGUGUGUCGAGCAGCCGUUCAGAGCAUCCUUCCCCACGUGCCGCCUCUUUUCCUCCUCUGGUGUUUGUGGGGAAAAGGCUAAGAAACACCUGAUUGUUUUAGCUGUGACAUUAUUGCCAUCAAAGGUUUGUCUCUACCCAGUUGAGUCUUGUUGGAAAUGUGGCCAGAAUUUACUCUGCUGGUUUAGAAAAAGAGCUGAGGGUCAGGGUGGUACAAAGAUGUCUCACUGUGACUCCUUUGAAAGAGAGGCUUACACAUUAGGUGUGUCCGUGUCCCUGGGUGAAGGUGAGUCUGACCCUCCACGAACAGCUGGCAGCGUGCCCGCGUCCACGCAGAAACGGUGCCCGGCUUGGACAGUGGAGUGGACCCUGUACAGUCUCUGCCUUCACGCCUGCCACGGGGCAGGUGCCCAGGCGAUGUGUCCCUGGGCCUCUUCCUGCUGUCGGCUAUCUGAUCGGGGAGUGGGUAGGAAGCUACUUGCCGAGGAAGAGCCGUGUCCUUGAGGAGUCCGUGCUGGACGAGGCAGGCAGACGGGCCAAAGUGGGCAGCAGGGUCUGGUUGCAUCGCACACAGCCUCCCCAGACUCCUGGGCCUGGCAGGGUCACACAUGGAGUCAGCUGAGCGGCUCCGUGUCCUUCAGGAGGCCGUGGCAGGGCAUCAAGGACAGCGGAAAGUCUAGGACCAGUUCUACAAGCUUUGGGAUCCACGUCGUUUUCCCUAAUAACGUUGCCCUUGGGCCACUGUUGCUGGAAGGGAAAGGGCAGCUGCAUCCCAGGCCCCUGCCCACUUCCAGCUGGCCGUGUGCAGUGGCACUGAGCCUCUGUGUAACAGACAGUGUCCUCGUCUGUUACACGAGGGUAAACCCUCACCUCACAGCAUUUGUGUCCAGAUUAAAAGACUGGGCACCUGGGACUGUGCCCAGCACACCCAGGGGUUGUCACUGAGUGGAUGUGUGUGCCCUCCCGCGAUGCAGGGUGCCAAGAGGCAGCACCUGUCGGCUCUGUGACACGCGCCCUCCGCGCAGACCGAGGAUUCAUGCUCGCCACCUUCCGUGCAAUUCUAAUUUCAGCGUUUCUCAGCUCGCUUUUGAAAUAGCAUCUUUCAUCCCCGGGUGUCUGCACAGCCCAGAAACGGGAACAGCCCCCCUCUGCAGGCAGACAUGUGAGAUCCAGGUUCACGCUUUUCCUGGGUAAACACCAGAUCCAGCAGGAGGGGGUGGGAAGGCCUGGACCUGAGCCAGGACCAUGUUCAAGGAGCACGCGUUGAGCACCUCCCGUGUGCCGGUGCCUUUGCUCACAGUGGUCCCGUGGGGAGCUAAGGGGACAGGCUCAGUGAUGUGCAGCUCCAUCCACACACCUGGGGCCACACAACCAGCAGUCAGAUCGGUGUCUCCCUCAGCGCCGUGUCUAAUCGGCCCAGUGACUGUUUGUGCCCCAAGACAGUCAGCAGGCGCUUCCGGAUCAGAGCGUGUCCUGCCUCAUCUCGGGUGACUGGGUGCGUCUGCUCCUGCUGUGUUUUUGAAGGUCCUCUGAGAGGUGCUCGUGCACAAGCACUCAGCUAGGAGGUCCUGCACAUCAUUCAAAAUCAUGACCCAUGAGGGAUCUAGGGAGGGUAACUGCACAGAAUCAGGGUCAGCAAAAAACACAUGUGGUGUCCCGCUGUCACCGCACGGCCUCCCCUCGCCCGGCUCACCCACAGGGGCCCAGAGCCAGACCAGUGAGGCCGUCUGGUCGGAGAGAGGAGGGUCCUCGGGUGCCCAGCCCGGGACCAGGCCUGGCUGAGGUCCAGUCUGGGUGUCCCUCUCCUGAGCUGGCCCCGAGGGCAGCUGGGUGGGGGUCCCACUGCACUCACCCUGGCUUCUCU